This 90-nucleotide non-coding RNA is filed under the name Pseudomonas baetica. The record is from RNAcentral. Lineage: Bacteria; Pseudomonadati; Pseudomonadota; Gammaproteobacteria; Pseudomonadales; Pseudomonadaceae.
UGUGGGAGCGAGCCUGCUCGCGAAAGCGGUGGCUCAGGCACCUUUUGCACCGGAUGUGCCGACGCCUUCGCGAGCAGGCUCGCUCCCACA